RNAcentral lists this ribosomal RNA (700 nucleotides) under uncultured Rhizobiaceae bacterium. RNAcentral's name for it is "bacterial SSU rRNA". It matches the Rfam family "Bacterial small subunit ribosomal RNA", at positions 8 to 756 of the family's 1533-position model. The record is from RNAcentral. Lineage: Bacteria; Pseudomonadati; Pseudomonadota; Alphaproteobacteria; Hyphomicrobiales; Rhizobiaceae.
AGAGUUUGAUCCUGGCUCAGGACGAACGCUGGCGGCAGGCUUAACACAUGCAAGUCGAACGCCCCGCAAGGGGAGUGGCAGACGGGUGAGUAACGCGUGGGAACAUACCCUUUCCUGCGGAAUAGCUCCGGGAAACUGGAAUUAAUACCGCAUACGCCCUACGGGGGAAAGAUUUAUCGGGGAAGGAUUGGCCCGCGUUGGAUUAGCUAGUUGGUGGGGUAAAGGCCUACCAAGGCGACGAUCCAUAGCUGGUCUGAGAGGAUGAUCAGCCACAUUGGGACUGAGACACGGCCCAAACUCCUACGGGAGGCAGCAGUGGGGAAUAUUGGACAAUGGGCGCAAGCCUGAUCCAGCCAUGCCGCGUGAGUGAUGAAGGCCUUAGGGUUGUAAAGCUCUUUCACCGGAGAAGAUAAUGACGGUAUCCGGAGAAGAAGCCCCGGCUAACUUCGUGCCAGCAGCCGCGGUAAUACGAAGGGGGCUAGCGUUGUUCGGAAUUACUGGGCGUAAAGCGCACGUAGGCGGAUAUUUAAGUCAGGGGUGAAAUCCCAGAGCUCAACUCUGGAACUGCCUUUGAUACUGGGUAUCUUGAGUAUGGAAGAGGUAAGUGGAAUUCCGAGUGUAGAGGUGAAAUUCGUAGAUAUUCGGAGGAACACCAGUGGCGAAGGCGGCUUACUGGUCCAUUACUGACGCUGAGGUGCGA